UCAGUCUGGUCUCGCGCAAUGGGCUGAUGAUAUUUGGUGGAUACAAUUUUAAUGAGGGGGUUUUUCACCUUUGCGAGUGAUUUGGCUUUUUCAAUUAGCAUUACUUUUGCCUUCUUGUUGUUUUAUUGAGGAUUUUGUUGAGCAUUCUCAUGUUAUUUUCGCAGGCUUGCGAGAAGAUUCAUUUGAGGCACUUUUAAUUCAGGUUCUAUCUUAAUACUGUUUUAACUCGACACUUCUAAAUAAUUCUUGUUCUCGUGGUUUUUUAUUAGUCAGUGAUUGAACUAAAAACCAUGGAUUAUUGAUCUUCGAAAGCGAAUUUAUAUAGAGGUGGUUUUACAUCUUCGAUAGUGAUUUUGAUGUAUGAAGUUUCUAUGCUCUUGAUGAGGUAUAUGCCAGUUAUUACUCAUUUUUCGGUUAUGUCUAACUUGGUAGCAUUUUAGGUUAUACCUGUUGGUCUGCUUUCUCGAAUAUAGUCUGUUUAGUAACCAAUGUCUAUUCUACUACCAUUUUAGUCUUGGAAGAUGUUUUAGUUGAGAUGACUCUGUCAUGUGGUUUGAAACAUUCUUUUUUACCUUCAUUUUUUUAAGUCAUUUUUUCUUGGAAGUAUGUUUCACCCUUGUUGACCAUUGCAUUCUUGAUGGCCUGUUUUCUAUUCAGUGGAUGGAAUUGAAGGCCAGCCGAUGACAGGAGUUAAGGCCAAAAGGUUCAAUGCUUGGGAGAGUACUUGCA
This 729-nucleotide long non-coding RNA is filed under the name Phoenix dactylifera (date palm). Its description in RNAcentral is "long non-coding RNA (PDAC_LNC018873)". The record is from RNAcentral. Lineage: Eukaryota; Viridiplantae; Streptophyta; Magnoliopsida; Arecales; Arecaceae.